AAAUUUGAGGUUGGGAAUCACUUCUGUUGGAGUAUGGCUCCCCAUGGUGCCCUUGCCAUUCACUGAGUCAUUUAAAUUUCAAUGAGGAGAAACAGACCAUCCGACCGGUAUCGAUCUCUCGUUACUGCUGAUUGUUUAAUAUAUUGCAGCAAUCUCACAGACUGGAAGCGGACAUGAUUAUGGCGAGCGAGAGAGAAGGCAGGCAGAACACCGAGAGUGGGAGGGAGCUGUCGAAUUAAAGUUAAUUGAUGCACUUCCCUCUGGACAAAUGGGACUAAAAUUUCAAAAAUCAAAUCACAGAAGAUGACCCCUGUGCUGAGCGUGUGCAGACUGCAGCCACUGAGCAGCUUGUGGAUUUUGAUCCACUCAUUGAUGAGCAGCCAGAGGCAGAAAGCUGUUGAAGACAGAUUUGAGUCAGUUUUGGGGACAGAUCAACAAUGUUGUGCUCAGGGAUUGGUGUCCGGACCGUUGCUAAUUACAAUAUUCAUGAACUAGAUGGUAAUACUAUCAGUCGUAAACUUGUGGAAAAUUCCUUCAAGAAUCCCCGUGUGGUGAAAACCUUUCAAUUGGAAAUCAAAGCUAGCAGUACCUGCUGUUCGCCAGAGGGAGGCAGGAGAUACACAUCAGUACUAGUCUUUGCUCCCC
Molecule: non-coding RNA, 645 nt
Organism: Chiloscyllium plagiosum (whitespotted bambooshark)
Lineage: Eukaryota; Metazoa; Chordata; Chondrichthyes; Orectolobiformes; Hemiscylliidae
Source: RefSeq, a predicted model, not a curated record